CGAAAAGCUGAGUCACACGAGAGCAGGCAAAACAUUUUCACUCAUGGAGGCAGCGGUUUAUACACUAAACUGUGUACCUGUGUAUUGAGUAUGAACAUCACUAAACACAACAUCGCCAGCCCACCAACAACUUCAAGGGGUGUGGGUGCUUCUGCGUGACUGGGCCUUCGUAUGAUUUUGUUUCAGAAAGGAUGAACUGAAAAUGCACCAUAACCCUUAAAGGUGAACUUUAUUUGACCUUUGAAAAACUUUUGAAUGUCCAACUCUUCAGCGUAAUUG
Long non-coding RNA from Syngnathoides biaculeatus (alligator pipefish), 279 nucleotides. RefSeq lists it as uncharacterized. Lineage: Eukaryota; Metazoa; Chordata; Actinopteri; Syngnathiformes; Syngnathidae. The record is from RefSeq and is a predicted model, not a curated record. The transcript is spliced from 3 exons.